CAAAAGCCCAGCUGGUUUGUAAACAGUCAUUAGCUGAGAACCACAUCCCAGCAAAUGGCCUUCACGGAUUUCAAAAUGAAAUGUCAUCUGGCUUCAGCAAACUCAGAAGAACGAAAGUCAGAAGCUACUCAUCAGCAAGGAAUGGACCCACUCAUAAAAUGGUGGUGUCACCUUAAUGUGUACUACUGCAAGAAAAAGCUCUUUUGUACACAGAUGUAGGAAGAGGCACUUA
This is a long non-coding RNA of Tupaia belangeri chinensis (Chinese tree shrew), 232 nucleotides long. RefSeq lists it as uncharacterized. The record is from RefSeq and is a predicted model, not a curated record. Lineage: Eukaryota; Metazoa; Chordata; Mammalia; Scandentia; Tupaiidae. The transcript is spliced from 3 exons.